AAGUUAAAAUCUUAGCCAGAGAGAAGAAAUGACUAAAUGUUUGUCUGAAUUUGAGACAUUUAUGACUCUUGCUUCAGCCAUCACGCCUAAAAUAUUUGGCUACCUCGUACGUGGUUGUUUUCAAAGGGUGUAUACUGUUAAGAAGAUGCCAGAAUGAGAGUCUGGGAGGAAAAAAAUGUGCCUAAAAGAGACUGUGUCUGCCCCCCGCUCCCAUCCAAAUCCAGAGGUGCAGAAAGGAGACCAGCGCACAAUCGUAACUACCUUUUUGUUAAUUUACCCUCAGAUGUGGCAACAAAUUUGACAGAGAGAGGAAGAAGGAGAAGGACAAGAAAAUUGCUGUUAAAUCCGUUUCCUGCGAAGAACGGCAUUUGAUGCAGAAACACACAAAAACAUCUUUUUGUUUGUUUUUAAUUUUUACAUUUAAAGCUCGACUGCUUUGCUAUGAAAUUCUGUGCAUAAGCUUCUAGAAGCACUAAUGCUGAUCCUGUAAUAAUUGGCUGCUGCACAGACACGAGGACGUCACAGAGAGAUAAAAUCAGAAUGUGUCCUUAAUAUUAUGGACUGUUUUCUGUGGGGGGUGGGGGUGCUGUUGGGAAAUAAAUGUCAGUGAAUGUUGUUCGUACUUCAAAUUGAAGUGAUUUCUACAAUAUUGACUACGUUUUAUUAACUGAACCAAUCAGGGUUUGUUUCAAGAUUUUUAUUUUUUCCUCCCCCACAUUAAAAGCCAAGAUGGGUCACAUACAUAUUCAUGUUGUCAUCGGUGAGAGGAUGAACUGAUGGCUUCUUCCUCCUCUUUUCUCUCUCUGGAUAAAAAUCCAUUUUCAGACAAGCUUAGAAUAAGAGAGCAAUUGAUUAUUUUUUUUCUUUUCUCUGUGUCUCAUUACAGAAUUCAUCUCUCUCUCUUCCACAUGUGCACACACAUGCACACGCCUGCGUUUUAAUGUAAUGCAAUGACCUGCUAGAUAAAUUAACACGGAUGUGCGUCCUGCUGAAAAAGCUGUGUGUUUGAAAAUAAAAAAAGAUGUACUGUAUAUUAUGUGUUUGUAAAACAGAAAAAAAAAAUGCAGAAUCCCAAAAUUAAAUUGUUUUAUAUUCUUACAGGUUAAAACAAUUAAAGAUAUUUAUAUAAUGAA
Thalassophryne amazonica is the source of this 1133-nucleotide long non-coding RNA. RefSeq lists it as uncharacterized. The transcript has 2 exons. NCBI's taxonomy places the organism in Eukaryota, Metazoa, Chordata, Actinopteri, Batrachoidiformes, Batrachoididae. The record is from RefSeq and is a predicted model, not a curated record.